CAUGAUAUAGACCAACAAAACAAUUAGAAACCAACUUUGGAAGGGAGUUUACGGCCAAGAUGCUCCUUAGGCCGUAAACUCCAAGAUUAAGGGUCAAAACCCCUUCAAACUCUUCCUAAGGCUUAGUCUUCAUGUUUGGCAAAUACCUUAAUGUGUUUAGGACCUAGACGACUCAUGAAAAGCACAAGUGUUGAAGAGUUUAUGGCCAAGAGUAUUUCUUGGGCCGUAAACUCCUUUAAAGGGGUCAAAGGACACCCUAGACACUUCCUUAGNUUCUUGGGCCGUAAACACUUAUAAAGGGGUCAAAUGACACCCUAGACACUUCCUUAGGCCAAGAGACAAUUAAGGCAUGUACCUAGAUGAGUUAUGGACUAACUAAAACAUUAAGAACCCCAUGUGUGAGGGAGUUUACGGCCCAAAAGGUUCCAAGGCCGUAAACUCCAUAAAAUGGUACCAUUUAGUGCCAUAAACCUUCCUUAAGCCAAGUGCUAAAGCCUAGACUUGUUCCUAGAAAUGUUGGAGACUUGAAAGAACAAUAAGAACCCUCCCAAGGGAGUUUACGGCCGUAAACUCCAAGGGAAAAGGGUCUUUGGGCCGUAAACUCCCCAAAGGAGUCAAUAUGGUGCCCAAACACUUGCAUAGGCCUUGAAACAAUUCCCACUAAGGUUGUAGUAAUUCAAAGUACCAUUCCA
This 692-nucleotide long non-coding RNA is filed under the name Lactuca sativa (garden lettuce). Its description in RNAcentral is "long non-coding RNA (LSAT_LNC008667)". The record is from RNAcentral. Lineage: Eukaryota; Viridiplantae; Streptophyta; Magnoliopsida; Asterales; Asteraceae.